AGCAGCCGCGGUAAUUCCAGCUCCAAUAGCGUAUAUUAAAGUUGUUGCAGUUAAAAAGCUCGUAGUUGAAUUUCGGGAUCAAUAUAUCGGUCAUGCUUAGGUAUGUACUGGUAUUAUUGAUUUCUCCCUUCUGAAGAACCAUGAUGUCAUUAAUUUGAUGUCGUGGGGAAUCAGGACUGUUACUUUGAAAAAAUUAGAGUGUUUAAAGCAGGCAUACGCUUGAAUACAUUAGCAUGGAAUAAUGAAAUAGGACGUUUGAUUCUAUUUUGUUGGUUUCUAGGAUCGACGUAAUGAUUAAUAGGGAUAGUUGGGGGCAUUAGUAUUCAAUUGUCAGAGGUGAAAUUCUUGGAUUUAUUGAAGACUAACUACUGCGAAAGCAUUUGCCAAGGAUGUUUUCAUUAAUCAAGAACGAAAGUUAGGGGAUCGAAGACGAUCAGAUACCGUCGUAGUCUUAACCAUAAACUAUGCCGACUAGGGAUCGGAUGAUGUUAACUUUUAAUGACU
Molecule: ribosomal RNA, 504 nt
Filed under: uncultured Glomus
Lineage: Eukaryota; Fungi; Glomeromycota; Glomeromycetes; Glomerales; Glomeraceae
Description: SSU rRNA
Rfam family: Eukaryotic small subunit ribosomal RNA
Source: RNAcentral